GAGCGGGCCAUGGAGAACAUGACGAACGUCGACUCCGUCCGGGUGGAGCGGUCCGGGACGGGAUCCAAGGCCUCCGCGUGGGGGUACCA
This 89-nucleotide non-coding RNA is filed under the name Octactis speculum. Lineage: Eukaryota; Dictyochophyceae; Dictyochales; Dictyochaceae. The record is from RNAcentral.